GCGCCCGUAGCUCAGCAGGAUAGAGCAGCGGUUUCCUAAACCGCAGGUCGCCCGUUCGAGUCGGGCCGGGCGCACCA
Molecule: transfer RNA, 77 nt
Filed under: Acidobacteriota bacterium
Lineage: Bacteria; Pseudomonadati; Acidobacteriota
Also listed under: 3 other names
Description: Acidobacteria bacterium tRNA-Arg
Rfam family: tRNA
About the family: Transfer RNA (tRNA) molecules are approximately 80 nucleotides in length. Their secondary structure includes four short double-helical elements and three loops (D, anti-codon, and T loops). Further hydrogen bonds mediate the characteristic L-shaped molecular structure. tRNAs have two regions of fundamental functional importance: the anti-codon, which is responsible for specific mRNA codon recognition, and the 3' end, to which the tRNAs corresponding amino acid is attached (by aminoacyl-tRNA synthetases). tRNAs cope with the degeneracy of the genetic code in two manners: having more than one tRNA (with a specific anti-codon) for a particular amino acid; and 'wobble' base-pairing, i.e. permitting non-standard base-pairing at the 3rd anti-codon position.
Source: RNAcentral